GAUGAACGCUGGCGGCGUGCCUAAUACAUGCAAGUAGAACGCUGAAGGAGGAGCUUGCUCUUCUGGAUGAAUUGCGAACGGGUGAGUAACGCGUAGGUAACCUGCCUGGUAGCGGGGGAUAACUAUUGGAAACGAUAGCUAAUACCGCAUGACAACAGUUAUUGCAUGAUAACUGUUUAAAAGGGGCAACUGCUCCACUACCAGAUGGACCUGCGUUGUAUUAGCUAGUUGGUGAGGUAACGGCUCACCAAGGCGACGAUACAUAGCCGACCUGAGAGGGUGAUCGGCCACACUGGGACUGAGACACGGCCCAGACUCCUACGGGAGGCAGCAGUAGGGAAUCUUCGGCAAUGGACGGAAGUCUGACCGAGCAACGCCGCGUGAGUGAAGAAGGUUUUCGGAUCGUAAAGCUCUGUUGUAAGAGAAGAACGAGUGUGAGAGUGGAAAGUUCACACUGUGACGGUAUCUUACCAGAAAGGGACGGCUAACUACGUG
This 495-nucleotide ribosomal RNA is filed under the name uncultured bacterium. RNAcentral's name for it is "partial 16S ribosomal RNA". It matches the Rfam family "Bacterial small subunit ribosomal RNA", at positions 28 to 507 of the family's 1533-position model. The record is from RNAcentral.